CUCCAGACUCCUACGGGAGGCAGCAGUGAGGAAUAUUGGUCAAUGGGCGCGAGCCUGAACCAGCCAAGUCGCGUGAGGGAAGACGGUCCUAUGGAUUGUAAACCUCUUUUGUCAGGGAGCAAAGGGCGCCACGUGUGGCGUUUUGCGAGUACCUGAAGAAAAAGCAUCGGCUAACUCCGUGCCAGCAGCCGCGGUAAUACGGAGGAUGCGAGCGUUAUCCGGAUUUAUUGGGUUUAAAGGGUGCGCAGGCGGAAUGUCAAGUCAGCGGUAAAAUUUCGGGGCUCAACCCCGUCGUGCCGUUGAAACUGGUUUUCUUGAGUGAGCGAGAAGUAUGCGGAAUGCGUGGUGUAGCGGUGAAAUGCAUAGAUAUCACGCAGAACUCCGAUUGCGAAGGCAGCAUACCGGCGCUCAACUGACGCUCAUGCACGAAAGUGUGGGUAUCGAACAGGAUUAGAUACCCCCGUA
This 465-nucleotide ribosomal RNA is filed under the name uncultured bacterium. RNAcentral describes it as "bacterial SSU rRNA". It matches the Rfam family "Bacterial small subunit ribosomal RNA", at positions 329 to 792 of the family's 1533-position model. The record is from RNAcentral.